CACACGGGGACGAUUUGCAGUCUCGCACGGCCCUUCCCCAACCUCCCGCGCCAGCCACCGUCGGCCGCUGCCCUCCCCUCUCCAAUCCCCUGCCUCGCCCACCUCUGCGCGCUGGCCGGCAAGCUCCGCCCCAUCGUGGUCCAGGCUCGCUGCAGUCUCGUCUCAGUCAGGCACUCAGGCCGGCGUGGCCGUCGAGCCAGGCCAGGCGGCCGGCUGUGGCACUCCAUCGCUUGAUCUGAACUUGCCUGUUUCUGAGCUGCCGUGUUGUUUCUUCUGGUUGUUCUUUUGGUUCACAUUAUUGUUGUCUAACACAAUAACAGAAAUUCAAACAAAAAUAAUAGAGGAUGGUCUUCAGCGAGGACAAUCACCUGGAUGACAAACAAUAUGUUCAUCGGAGACAUUUGAACUAUUAUUUUGAGCAUUUCCUGAAGAAAAAAACUACGGGUUGUCACAUGUGUGGCCUCCGGUGCUGAGUGGAAGCUUACGAUUGGGUACUGAACCCCCGAAAGGCCACCUCCCAGGCUGUGCUGCAGCGACGUGUGCACUGCAUCCUGCUGGCCAACAUUUGCAUCGGUGUCGACACUGCUGCUGCUGUAGAAAUCUCACAAGCUUGCCUCAUGGAGCGAUCUAGUCAGCUGUAUUGGGUUGGCUCAAUCCAAGAAAUAGUACCGAGAAAAAUGCAAGAAGUGCAGUCGUUCAGCGCGACUAGUCCUUGUGUUGACCUUUGAGGCUCCUGAUGGCAAGCAUGUUUGGCACUUACUAAAAAAAUGUAUGAAAAUGAAGACACUUGCAUUUGUACCCACAAGCAGCAUUGCAACGAGCUGUGAGUUCUUGCGGCUGGCUCCUACGAUUGUCACUGCAAGUCAUGCUCUUCAUUGCGUGAAGCAGCCGAGCACAAGUGCACAAAAAGAAUAAAGGUGCGGAGAUGAAGAGCUCACUUUUCCUAAUCCGUGGAGUUCAUUUCUCCUAAUUCGUGAGUUUCAUGUGCAUAAAUGUAGCUACACUGGGG
Long non-coding RNA from Lolium perenne, 1009 nucleotides. RefSeq lists it as uncharacterized. The record is from RefSeq and is a predicted model, not a curated record. Lineage: Eukaryota; Viridiplantae; Streptophyta; Magnoliopsida; Poales; Poaceae.